This 216-nucleotide ribosomal RNA is filed under the name uncultured fungus. RNAcentral's name for it is "partial small subunit ribosomal RNA". The stretch from base 95 to 216 matches the Rfam family "Eukaryotic small subunit ribosomal RNA", at positions 741 to 864 of the family's 1831-position model. Lineage: Eukaryota; Fungi. The record is from RNAcentral.
GACCUGGCUGGGCGGUCCGCUUCACGGCGAGUACUGUCCGGCUGGGCCUUACCUCUUGGUGAACCGGCGUGCCCUUCACUGGCGUGCGUCGGAGAACCAGGACUUUUACCUUGAGAAAAUUAGAGUGUUCAAAGCAGGCCUAUGCCCGAAUACAUUAGCAUGGAAUAAUAAAAUAGGACGUGCGGUUCUAUUUUGUUGGUUUCUAGAGUCGCCGUA